UGCGUUCUCGGAGCUUGAGAUGUCGUCAAU
RNAcentral lists this non-coding RNA (30 nucleotides) under Rattus norvegicus (Norway rat). Lineage: Eukaryota; Metazoa; Chordata; Mammalia; Rodentia; Muridae. The record is from RNAcentral.